GAUGAACGCUGGCGGCGUGCCUAAUACAUGCAAGUCGAGCGAACAGACGAGGAGCUUGCUCCUCUGACGUUAGCGGCGGACGGGUGAGUAACACGUGGAUAACCUACCUAUAAGACUGGGAUAACUUCGGGAAACCGGAGCUAAUACCGGAUAAUAUAUUGAACCGCAUGGUUUAAUAGUGAAAGACGGUUUUGCUGUCACUUAUAGAUUGAUCCGCGCCGCAUUAGCUAGUUGGUAAGGUAACGGCUUACCAAGGCAACGAUGCGUAGCCGACCUGAGAGGGUGAUCGGCCACACUGGAACUGAGACACGGUCCAGACUCCUACGGGAGGCAGCAGUAGGGAAUCUUACGCAAUGGGCGAAAGCCUGACGGAGCAACGCCGCGUGAGUGAUGAAGGUCUUCGGAUCGUAAAACUCUGUUAUUAGGGAAGAACAAAUGUGUAAGUAACUAUGCACGUCUUGACGGUACCUAAUCAGAAAGCCACGGCUAACUACGUG
RNAcentral lists this ribosomal RNA (497 nucleotides) under uncultured bacterium. Its description in RNAcentral is "partial 16S ribosomal RNA". It matches the Rfam family "Bacterial small subunit ribosomal RNA", at positions 28 to 507 of the family's 1533-position model. The record is from RNAcentral.